Molecule: long non-coding RNA, 3048 nt
Filed under: Equus caballus (horse)
Lineage: Eukaryota; Metazoa; Chordata; Mammalia; Perissodactyla; Equidae
Description: lncRNA (ENSECAG00000058141.1)
Source: RNAcentral
CUUUGCUACUUAGAAAAUCUCUCCCACUCUAUACCCACCAAUUGCCCCACACACAUUCCUCCCCCAAAACACCAGUAGUUUACAGAUUUUUUCACCACUAAAGAGAGAAAAAUUUCUUGAGUCCCAACAUAAUAAGCAUCAGAACCAAAUGCCUUCAUGAAAUUCUGUCAGAUAGCAUCUUAAAUUGAUGAGUCUUUCCAACUAAAACAUAAAUCGAAGAAUGCAGGAGUUUCCAUUGGCUUCUGGCACCAUCUGCCUCAGCACAGAUUUCAUUGCUACACAGUUGCCUAGCAACCUGCUCCCAGUCAGCCCCACUCCUUCUUGCUCGUUUCUUUACACUGGUCCUCCCAGGUUUUUCUCUCUUUGUUUGCUCUGUAGUAGCAGGAUCUGAACACACAAUGCUGCAAGGAUGGCUCAGAAGUUGUUCAGGAUAAUAUUGUGGCAUCCUUCAGUGCUGAGCUGCAGAGUCUCUCCCUCAUUUGGGAAGUGAUGACGGCCACUCUUAUUUUGAAGCAGGGCAGUGACAAGAUCAGAGCUAGCUCCUGCUUAGGAAGUUGAGGGAUAACGGACCACAGUGAUGACUAUGGGAAUGGAAAAGAGGGUGCAGAGGAGAGCCACAGGCUGCAGUAGAAGCAGUGUCAGGCUGUGAGGGCCUGGAGAUAUCAAAGGUGCAGGCAUAGCUUCAGACCUGGGGCUAUCUACAGAAGCAGCGAGUCAGGAAGAUAUGCGGAGAGAAGUCUAAGUGCCAAGUUGGACACAAUGAAUCUGAAGUGUCAGAGAAACAGAGAGGCCAAGAUGCCCACAUUUUCCCCAGAGUUCCUCCAGGAGUCCUGUCACUAGAGGGACUAUUCCAGGAGCAGGUGCUUUACUAGGUCACUUCCUUGAAAUCACAAAGAUACUGUGAGGAAGUGGACACAUUGGGACAGCUCUUAGUGACUUCCUCGAAAGCAUCACUAUGCUACCACCUGCUCACAGAGCCGUCACCCAGGCUGAGGCAAGCAUAGCGCCUCCUCCCGUUGGCCCCGUGAUUGGUCCGCACCGGGGAGGGGUCUUUGGCUGAGGAAUCAAACUCCCUGGAAGUGUCUUCAGUGGAAGUUCAAAGAAAAAUUUCUCUAUCUGGAAAGACGUAAGUCUAGAACAUUCCCUGCCAUUGAAUGCUGCCCAUCUUCAGAAGGAGAGAAUGAAAUCAAUAUUCAGAGAUGGUGACUCUUCUGCCUGCUCCAGCUUUACAAGCGAAACACCUACUUUCAACUUGGAAAGAAUCGUUGGACAGGCUAUUUGCAGCCUGCUACUUAAAGGGAGUGGUAGAGAACUUUGUGCUUUGAGGCAGAAAUCCCCACUAAGGACCAGGGGUGGAGAUGCGGAAAGGCGCUUUGAUUGGGGCAGGCUUCCACCCUCCAGCUUUCGAAGAACAGGAACUGACUCAGAAGUUGAAGAAGGUGUGGCUGGGGAUGUGGCUGUUGUCUAAGCUCACAAAACCUUCUCUCUAGAACAUUCUUAAUAGCAUGCCUCAGCUCCAGCAACAGGCAACCUCUGAGCCUGUUCAUUCCAAAUUUCAGAUUCACAGAGGACAGGUACUGCUUGUCACAGCACAGCUCAAGGGACACUUCUAAAUUACUCACCACAAAGAGGGCCAGGGUCAUAGAGAUCACCUGGGGCCAUGGGGGCCAGAGGAGGGAGGGUGAUGAUGAGUCAAGCAGUCAUCCCCAGAGAUGUCCACUACAGCAUGGUGGUGGGCCCUGGAGGUGGUGACAAGAUACUGUCACCUAGCUCUGCAGGCAGGGUCAUAGGAGGACCAAGAGAUCAUGGCAGAUGUUAUGUGUUUGUGAGCAAAUGUGGGACAACGUGAGGACCCAGGGGGAUGAAGAAUGAGGGAGUCAAUGUGGUGAAAUAACUAGGGAUAGUUAUCAGUUACUCAGGCACAUGUGCAUAGUCCUGUCCUAAGCUCUUACUGACACUAACUCAUUUAAUCCUCACCACCCCCCAUACAACAAGCACUACUGCAUUGUACAAGUGAGUGAAGCAAGGAUGGGCCAAGAGACUGAUCAACUCGCCCAAGGUUACAUGCAGCGGGGAGCGAGGUCUUGGCUCUGAAUCCAGACAAGUCAACUCCAGAGGCCGUGUGCCUUACCAAUAUUUCACUCAGCAAAUGAGGCAAUGAAGUAUGGGUUAUUGCUCUUACAGGAGCCCCAUUUGCAGCCACAGAUUACAGUUAGGCUUCCUGGGGGCAUUUGAUUUGUGUUUUGUUGUUGUUUCAGAUCAGCUUUAUUCACCAUUUGACAAAAUGUAUCCAAGGAGUAGUUUAAACUGAAUUACUUAGAAAUACUUCACUCUUUGGGAUCCACAUACGUCAUUACAUAUGAAACUAUUCACAUCCUUGUGGUUAGAACAGCCUUUCUCUAUUAUAACCGACCCUUUAAUAAUAACACCAGUCAUGUUCCAUAACAUGCAAUCAAAUGGUCUGUCCCAAGUAUGGAUACUUAACUGUGUCAUACAGGUGUGAGGCUUGUCCAAAGCACACCGAAGUGUGGAUGUCGGCAUUCACAUAACCACCCCAUCCUUUCUAGAGGAUGGCUUGGUGUACAUCUGUUGAUGUUUUGUAGUUAUUUAGAAGUUUUCACUAUUGUUGCUUUGAGUUCUUACUCUAGCAUUCUUCUUCUUAACAGUCCAAAUAGCACUUACUUUUGAACUAGACCUUAAGUCAUGCUCAUGUACACCUGCUAGGGUAAUUCCUAAGCCAACAAGUAGGGCUUUUUAUACAUGCAUCCAGAAUCAGGAAUGGGACCAGAGGGUGAAGCAGCAGCUUGUACAAAUAGGUUUUUAAACAGAUCAACCACCAGAGGGAGCCAAAAAGAAACGUCUUCCCGGAGUGGAGCAAUGCAGGGUGUUUACAUUCCACGUGAGUCGAUGAAUAAAGUCUUCAUCCAAGAAGGAAUAUGGUCUUUGGCUACAUUUCUGUCAUGAAGAUUUGCCGUAGACUUCCUGCAUGUUUGGCUAAUUGUAUUUUCUCAGCUCCCCUUAAUUAUACAGACCAGAUGCUUUGUGACU